GGAAUAUUGGACAAUGGGCGGAAGCCUGAUCCAGCCAUGCCGCGUGCAGGAAGACAGCCCUACGGGUUGUAAACUGCUUUUAUACGGGAAGAAUAAGGGGUACGUGUACCCCGAUGACGGUACCGUAAGAAUAAGGACCGGAUAAGUCCGUGCAAGCAGCCGCGGUACAACGGAGGGUCCAAGCUUGAUCCGGAAUCAUUGGGUUUAAAGGGUCCGCAGGCGGGCAAUUAAGUCAGGGGUGAAAUGGUGCGGCUCAACCGUAGCACUGCCCUUGAUACUGGUUGUCUUGAGUGAUGGUGAAGUGGCCGGAAUAUGUAGUGUAGCGGUGAAAUGCAUAGAUAUUACAUAGAACACCGAUUGCGAAGGCAGGUCACUAACCAUUCACUGACGCUGAUGGACGAAAGCGUGGGGAGCGAAC
RNAcentral lists this ribosomal RNA (418 nucleotides) under uncultured bacterium. RNAcentral describes it as "bacterial SSU rRNA". It matches the Rfam family "Bacterial small subunit ribosomal RNA", at positions 358 to 773 of the family's 1533-position model. The record is from RNAcentral.